RNAcentral lists this transfer RNA (73 nucleotides) under Dreissena polymorpha. It matches the Rfam family "tRNA". Rfam says of the family: Transfer RNA (tRNA) molecules are approximately 80 nucleotides in length. Their secondary structure includes four short double-helical elements and three loops (D, anti-codon, and T loops). Further hydrogen bonds mediate the characteristic L-shaped molecular structure. tRNAs have two regions of fundamental functional importance: the anti-codon, which is responsible for specific mRNA codon recognition, and the 3' end, to which the tRNAs corresponding amino acid is attached (by aminoacyl-tRNA synthetases). tRNAs cope with the degeneracy of the genetic code in two manners: having more than one tRNA (with a specific anti-codon) for a particular amino acid; and 'wobble' base-pairing, i.e. permitting non-standard base-pairing at the 3rd anti-codon position. Lineage: Eukaryota; Metazoa; Mollusca; Bivalvia; Myida; Dreissenidae. The record is from Rfam by way of RNAcentral.
GGGGAAUUAGCUCAAGUGGUAGAGCGCUCGCUUAGCAUGUGAGAAGUACAAGGAUCGAUACCCUGAUUCUCCA